RNAcentral lists this ribosomal RNA (366 nucleotides) under Triticum aestivum (bread wheat). RNAcentral describes it as "partial small subunit ribosomal RNA". Lineage: Eukaryota; Viridiplantae; Streptophyta; Magnoliopsida; Poales; Poaceae. The record is from RNAcentral.
AUGUCGCAGCUUGGGAGCAGUUCAGUGUGUAUUUUUAGAAGAAAAUCAACAACGGCGGCUGCACUGGAGCAGCACGACUACUAUUGCUGGCCGCCCCCAUCUCCGACCGGAUCCAGGCCGGCUCCCCUGAUAGCCACCAUGGCUUGUGUCGUUGGUGCUAGUGUGGAUGUGCGACAUGUUCAUGUCCCCAGUCUAUGCCAAGUUCAGGUAUGUUCCUGGCUGCUGGUGUAUAUUCCGCUGAUGUGUGACAAGUUCAUAGUGUGCCUUCUUUUUAGUUCAGUGAGUUCAGUUCAUGUCUUAUUUUUCUUUGUCAGAAUGCACGUCGGUCUCGUUGUGGAUGCUUCUGUAGUUCGGCAGUCCAACUAA